This 464-nucleotide ribosomal RNA is filed under the name Vreelandella stevensii. Its description in RNAcentral is "partial 16S ribosomal RNA". It matches the Rfam family "Bacterial small subunit ribosomal RNA", at positions 338 to 794 of the family's 1533-position model. Lineage: Bacteria; Pseudomonadati; Pseudomonadota; Gammaproteobacteria; Oceanospirillales; Halomonadaceae. The record is from RNAcentral.
CCUACGGGUGGCAGCAGUGGGGAAUAUUGGACAAUGGGCGAAAGCCUGAUCCAGCCAUGCCGCGUGUGUGAAGAAGGCCUUCGGGUUGUAAAGCACUUUCAGUGGGGAAGAAAGCCUUGGGGCUAAUACCCUCGAGGAAGGACAUCACCCACAGAAGAAGCACCGGCUAACUCCGUGCCAGCAGCCGCGGUAAUACGGAGGGUGCGAGCGUUAAUCGGAAUUACUGGGCGUAAAGCGCGCGUAGGCGGUCUGAUAAGCCGGUUGUGAAAGCCCCGGGCUCAACCUGGGAACGGCAUCCGGAACUGUCAGGCUAGAGUGCAGGAGAGGAAGGUAGAAUUCCCGGUGUAGCGGUGAAAUGCGUAGAGAUCGGGAGGAAUACCAGUGGCGAAGGCGGCCUUCUGGACUGACACUGACGCUGAGGUGCGAAAGCGUGGGUAGCAAACAGGAUUAGAUACCCUAGUAGC